GGCGAUGUAGCUCAGUUGGUUAGAGCGCCACACUCAUAAUGUGGAUGUCCCCGGUUCGAAUCCUGGCAUCGCCACCA
Molecule: transfer RNA, 77 nt
Filed under: Candidatus Thiodictyon syntrophicum str. Cad16
Lineage: Bacteria; Pseudomonadati; Pseudomonadota; Gammaproteobacteria; Chromatiales; Chromatiaceae
Also listed under: 1 other name
Description: tRNA-Met
Rfam family: tRNA
About the family: Transfer RNA (tRNA) molecules are approximately 80 nucleotides in length. Their secondary structure includes four short double-helical elements and three loops (D, anti-codon, and T loops).
Source: RNAcentral